Molecule: ribosomal RNA, 253 nt
Filed under: uncultured bacterium
Lineage: Bacteria
Description: partial 16S ribosomal RNA
Rfam family: Bacterial small subunit ribosomal RNA
Source: RNAcentral
UACAGAGGGGGCAAGCGUUGUUCGGAAUUACUGGGCGUAAAGGGCGCGUAGGCGGCCCGCUAAGUCGAACGUGAAAUCCCCGAGCUCAACUCGGGAACUGCGUCCGAUACUGGCGGGCUUGAAUCCGGGAGAGGGAUGCGGAAUUCCAGGUGUAGCGGUGAAAUGCGUAGAGAUCGGGAGGAAUACCAGCAGCGAAGGCGGCAAACUGGAUAGGCACUGACACUCAACUGCGAAAGCGUGGGGAGCAAACAGG